AUUGAACGCUGGCGGCAUGCUUUACACAUGCAAGUCGAACGGUAACAGGCCUUCGGGUGCUGACGAGUGGCGAACGGGUGAGUAAUGCAUCUGAACGUACCCAGAGGUGGGGGAUAACGCAGCGAAAGUUGUGCUAAUACCGCACUUGAUCUGAGGAUCAAAGCGGGGGACCGAGCAGCAAUGUUUCGCCUCGCGCUUUUGGAGCGGCCGAUGACGGAUUAGCUAGUUGGUGGGGUAAAGGCCUACCAAGGCGCCGAUCCGUAGCUGGUCUGAGAGGACGACCGGCCACACGGGGACUGAGACAAGGCCCAGACACCGGAGGGAGGCAGCAGUGGGGAAUUUUGGACAAUGGGCGCAAGCCUGAUCCAGCAAUGCCGCGUGCGGGAAGAAGGCCUUCGGGUUGUGAACCGCGUUUGGCAGGAGCGAAACGGUGUCCGCUAAUACCGAGCGCUAAUGACGGUACCUGCAGAAUAAGCACCGGCUAACUACGUG
RNAcentral lists this ribosomal RNA (492 nucleotides) under uncultured bacterium. Its description in RNAcentral is "partial 16S ribosomal RNA". It matches the Rfam family "Bacterial small subunit ribosomal RNA", at positions 29 to 507 of the family's 1533-position model. The record is from RNAcentral.